Non-coding RNA from Mesocricetus auratus (golden hamster), 506 nucleotides. NCBI's taxonomy places the organism in Eukaryota, Metazoa, Chordata, Mammalia, Rodentia, Cricetidae. The record is from the annotation of a RefSeq genome assembly.
UGGUCCCCUCUCAUCUUGAAAACCAGCCCUGGUGCUGCAGCUCUUUCAGAGGCAUCCAACUCUGAACUCACAGGUCCACCCAUUCUGUGGUGAUCACUGAACACUCAACAUCCAGCAUAGAGAUGAGACUGUGCUGGAUUUUCCUUGUUGCUCUUUUAAAAGGUGUCCAGUGUGAGGUGAAGCUGGUGGAGUCUGGGGGAGGCUUGGUGCAGCCUGGAAAGACCCUGAAACUCUCCUGUGCAGCUUCUGGAUUCACCUUCAGUGACUACUGGAUGAACUGGGUUCGCCAGGCUCCAGGAAAGGGACUGGAGUGGGUUGCACAAAUUAGAAACAAAGGUAACAAUUAUGCAACGUACUAUGCAGCAUCUGUGAGUGGCAGAUUCACCAUCUCAAGAGACGACUCCAAAAGCAGUGUUUACCUGCAAAUGAACAGCUUAAGAGCCGAUGACACCGCCAUUUAUUACUGUACUAGAGACACAGUGAGACGACUUCAAUGUGAACCUUGA